This is a long non-coding RNA of Mauremys reevesii (Reeves's turtle), 413 nucleotides long. RefSeq lists it as uncharacterized. The record is from RefSeq and is a predicted model, not a curated record. NCBI's taxonomy places the organism in Eukaryota, Metazoa, Chordata, Testudines, Geoemydidae. The transcript is spliced from 2 exons.
CUCCAGAACAGUGGUCCUGCAGAGAUGCCAGGCAGUGCUGCUUCCCACCAGACAGCCCAGUGACGUUGUCAUAACUUAGACAGGCCUCCAAAGCUGCCUGAGUUACACAAGAGCCUCAGAGAAACCUAGGAUUAGGAAGUUUACUCAUGGCAUUUGUCCGAAUUUGUGAGGACUCCUAAAAAUGGCUUUCAGACAACAGGUCUAGGUGGGACAGGUGGUCGUUGAUGAGAUCUUGAAGGAGCUGCAGGAAACUGAUUUUGUAUUGGCUGCCUAAAGAGUGAAAAAUACUUUUAGUGCAUAUUUGAUACCACAUUUCAGGAGCUGACAAAGAUCAUUAGUAUCAGGAAAUGUACCUAGCCAUGUUAUUUCUCAAGUGCCUGUUACAAAAGUGUUGAAUCUCCCGUUUUAAAAUA